RNAcentral lists this ribosomal RNA (254 nucleotides) under uncultured bacterium. Its description in RNAcentral is "partial 16S ribosomal RNA". It matches the Rfam family "Bacterial small subunit ribosomal RNA", at positions 524 to 777 of the family's 1533-position model. The record is from RNAcentral.
UACGAAGGGGGCUAGCGUUGCUCGGAUUGACUGGGCGUAAAGGGCGCGUAGGCGGUUCGUACAGUCAGACGUGAAAUCCCCGGGCUCAACCCGGGAACUGCGUCCGAUACUGGCAGGCUUGAAUCCGGGAGAGGGAUGCGGAAUUCCAGGUGUAGCGGUGAAAUGCGUAGAUAUCUGGAGGAACACCGGUGGCGAAGGCGGCAUCCUGGACCGGCAUUGACGCUGAGGCGCGAAAGCCAGGGGAGCAAAGCGGG